UGAACGCUGGCGGCAGGCCUAACACAUGCAAGUCGAACGGUAACAGGAAGCAGCUUGCUGCUUCGCUGACGAGUGGCGGACGGGUGAGUAAUGUCUGGGAAGCUGCCUGAUGGAGGGGGAUAACUACUGGAAACGGUAGCUAAUACCGCAUAAUGUCGCAAGACCAAAGAGGGGGACCUUCGGGCCUCUUGCCAUCGGAUGUGCCCAGAUGGGAUUAGCUUGUUGGUGGGGUAACGGCUCACCAAGGCGACGAUCCCUAGCUGGUCUGAGAGGAUGACCAGCCGCACUGGGACUGAGACACGGUCCAGACUCCUACGGGAGGCAGCAGUGGGGAAUAUUGCACAAUGGGCGCAAGCCUGAUGCAGCCAUGCCGCGUGUAUGAAGAAGGCCUUCGGGUUGUAAAGUACUUUCAGCGGGGAGGAAGGGAGUAAAGUUAAUACCUUUGCUCAUUGACGUUACCCGCAGAAGAAGCACCGGCUAACUCCGUG
RNAcentral lists this ribosomal RNA (488 nucleotides) under uncultured bacterium. Its description in RNAcentral is "partial 16S ribosomal RNA". It matches the Rfam family "Bacterial small subunit ribosomal RNA", at positions 30 to 507 of the family's 1533-position model. The record is from RNAcentral.